GCGGGGAAUGUCACAGAAGGGCCAGGGCCACAGGGCAACCAAAGACUCUGAGAGCAGUGCCUGUGAGUCAGCUCACUGAAAGACCACUCCUCUAAGGCUGUUCACCCCGUUGCCUUGGUUUAAUCUCUUAUAAGCUAGGCUCCCUGACACCAUGGCUGGAGAGAACCUGGGUAGGGCCUGCUGGAAAGAGCCCCCAGUUCAGCAUGGGCUGGGAGACCUCCUGCCUGGGGUGAGAAGGGAAACUGGAGCAGGGCCCCGACUAUAGUGGAAGAAAGCCUGGGACUCCUUAGUGGUGAACCAAUUCCAACCACCCCUUCCUAAGGCUUUACUCAUCCCCAGAUGUUUACAGUUGCUUGCACAAGACUGGGGUGAGCCUCCCGGAAUUUACAAGAGCCAAGCCGCCUCCACCAUGUCCUACGUCCUCCCCACAGAGAACUCCCAUAGAGAACAAUCGGGGAUGAGUGUGUCAGUGAAGCCCAAGCCAUGGAGGCUCUUGGACAAGCCCCCAAACUUCCAAGGCCCAGAAGGCUCCCUGAAUUGGGGGUGGGGGCUUUCUCUGACAACUCCUGCCCACCCUCUUUGGAGAGCAGAACAAAACAAGUGCUUCCAAAGGGAAAACAGAACUGUGUUGCGCUAUCCGUGAUACCGCUGAGGAAACAGAAGUCAGCCAAAGAGAACUUCCAAGAUUCCCACCACCAGUUCACCUCACCUGUCAGACGCUGCCUUCCUUCUCACUGAAGAUGAGCUGUCGUGCUCCAGCGGGGGCAAACUCCCCCACUCUAGUCCCUCUCGCCCUCACAAGCAUAGCUCAUGGCUUCAGCAGCUGUCCCUCUCUCCUAGAUCAUUGGUUUUCCCUUCUCCCCUAUCCAUCACCAAUAUGCUGACGCUUCGUCCAUUUUCAAGACACCUUCCCUGGGGUGUGUUUACUCCGUUAUAAUCUACUGAGCUGUACUUAUGAUUUGUGAACUUUACGUCUGUCUUAUUUCAAUUAAAAAA
Long non-coding RNA from Mirounga angustirostris (Northern elephant seal), 996 nucleotides. RefSeq lists it as uncharacterized. The transcript is spliced from 3 exons. The record is from RefSeq and is a predicted model, not a curated record. Lineage: Eukaryota; Metazoa; Chordata; Mammalia; Carnivora; Phocidae.